This is a long non-coding RNA of Mangifera indica (mango), 598 nucleotides long. RefSeq lists it as uncharacterized. The record is from RefSeq and is a predicted model, not a curated record. The transcript is spliced from 5 exons. Lineage: Eukaryota; Viridiplantae; Streptophyta; Magnoliopsida; Sapindales; Anacardiaceae.
GAUAUGUUUGUUAUUGAGGUUAAAUAGGCAAAUGGAUAUGAAGUGGCUUUCGUCCAUCUGUUACGUGCUAAAAAUGAUGUCAGGAUUCUGGAGUCUUUGCCUUGUCUUCAUGAUAAAGUUCUUGAUGCUGCUGCAGAUGCUGGGUUUGCCGUCUCUUCGAAUCAGAAGAAAAAACAGGGCAAUGCACCAGGGAUUCUUGGUGGUAUUGUCACAGGUUUUAAGGCGGGGAAAGGUAGCCAUACUGUGGAUAUUACUGUGUCUCCUAAGUCCAAUUUUACUCAUUUAGAGGGAAUAUCUUUGAAGCCCCCAUUCCUAGAUUCAUCUCCUACUGCAACAAAUGAUGAGAAAGUAAUAUUGGUCACAUUGUAAUGGAUGAAACAGGAUCUGUGGCAGCCACUUCAUGUCAUAAAGUAGCUUAUAUGAAGAAAGAUAAGGGAAUCAAUAGGGAAAGAUUGUUAGGUGAACCUGAUGAUAAAAAGGCCAGAGCGAGGACAUAGGAAGAAAGGUAAAUUUGACUUUCUUUUGUCUUUGUCUCCAUGCAUACUUGGACUUCACAGAUCAAAAAAAAUUUUGUAGUACUGCAUUUAAGGGGACCAAU